CCAGACUCCUACGGAGGCAGCAGUAGGGAAUCUUCGGCAAUGGACGGAAGUCUGACCGAGCAACGCCGCGUGAGUGAAGAAGGUUUUCGGAUCGUAAAGCUCUGUUGUAAGAGAAGAACGAGUGUGAGAGUGGAAAGUUCACACUGUGACGGUAUCUUACCAGAAAGGGACGGCUAACUACGUGCCAGCAGCCGCGGUAAUACGUAGGUCCCGAGCGUUGUCCGGAUUUAUUGGGCGUAAAGCGAGCGCAGGCGGUUAGAUAAGUCUGAAGUUAAAGGCUGUGGCUUAACCAUAGUACGCUUUGGAAACUGUUUAACUUGAGUGCAAGAGGGGAGAGUGGAAUUCCAUGUGUAGCGGUGAAAUGCGUAGAUAUAUGGAGGAACACCGGUGGCGAAAGCGGCUCUCUGGCUUGUAACUGACGCUGAGGCUCGAAAGCGUGGGGAGCAAACAGGAUUAGAUACCCUGGUAGUCCACGCCGUAAACGAUGAGUGCUAGGUGUUAGACCCUUUCCGGGGUUUAGUGCCGUAGCUAACGCAUUAAGCACUCCGCCUGGGGAGUACGACCGCAAGGUUGAAACUCAAAGGAAUUGACGGGGGCCCGCACAAG
This 606-nucleotide ribosomal RNA is filed under the name uncultured bacterium. RNAcentral's name for it is "bacterial SSU rRNA". It matches the Rfam family "Bacterial small subunit ribosomal RNA", at positions 331 to 929 of the family's 1533-position model. The record is from RNAcentral.